RNAcentral lists this long non-coding RNA (494 nucleotides) under Homo sapiens (human). RNAcentral's name for it is "non-protein coding lnc-RAB11A-3:1". The record is from RNAcentral. Lineage: Eukaryota; Metazoa; Chordata; Mammalia; Primates; Hominidae.
CUGGGACUGCAGGCUCAUGCCACCACAUCUGGCCAGGUUCCUGUCCUUUUUAGUACUUCUCAGACACAACCAGUGCUCUCUGAGGUCAAUAGAGAAGUCUGGUACGUAGAAUGCAUCCUUCCGGCAUUCCCUAGGGAAAUCAAGCAUCCUUGAGACUUUUUAGUGAAGUGGGUGAGCACCUCUUUCAGCCCCUGCUCAGGAUUCCCAAACUGCAGGCAUCCAAGCCCGCCGAAUCUCUAGUCCUCUUCCCUGGUUUGAGCUCAUGGGGCCUGAGAGAAUUUGAUAUCUUGGAGGUCCUGUUGCCUGGUCUGGUGGGAAGAGCACUGGGUUCAAAGUCAUGAUUUGGGCUCAGAUCCCAGCUCUGCCUCCUCCCAGAUAGGUGAGCUAGGAUAAGUCAGGUGAUCAUUCUGAGCCUUAAUUUUCUCAUCUAUAAAAUGGGAGUAGUAACUCCUAGUCUUCCAGGUGGUUAUAAAGACGAAGUGAGAUUAGAGAUG